Molecule: non-coding RNA, 22 nt
Filed under: Arabidopsis thaliana (thale cress)
Lineage: Eukaryota; Viridiplantae; Streptophyta; Magnoliopsida; Brassicales; Brassicaceae
Source: RNAcentral
UGGAAAACGAAGGAGCCUCCAC